GACAGAGGUGCCGAGCGUUAGGCGGAAUCACUGGGCUUAAAGCGUGUGUAGGCGGCCCGUUAAGUGUCCCGUGAAAUCCCCCGGCUCAACCGGGGAACGGCGGGGCAUACUGGCGGGCUUGGGCCACUCAGGGGCAGACGGAACAGGCGGUGGAGCGGUGAAAUGCGUAGAGAUCCGGAGGAACACCAAAGGCGAAGGCAGUGUCCUGGGGAGUACCUGACGCUCAGGUGCGAAAGCCAGGGGAGCGAACGGGG
This 254-nucleotide ribosomal RNA is filed under the name uncultured bacterium. RNAcentral's name for it is "partial 16S ribosomal RNA". It matches the Rfam family "Bacterial small subunit ribosomal RNA", at positions 524 to 777 of the family's 1533-position model. The record is from RNAcentral.